RNAcentral lists this ribosomal RNA (282 nucleotides) under uncultured bacterium. Its description in RNAcentral is "partial 16S ribosomal RNA". It matches the Rfam family "Bacterial small subunit ribosomal RNA", at positions 28 to 303 of the family's 1533-position model. The record is from RNAcentral.
GAUGAACGCUAGCGGCAGGCUUAAUACAUGCAAGUCGAGGGGCAGCGGGGGUAGCAAUACCUGCCGGCGACCGGCAAACGGGUGCGGAACACGUACACAACCUUCCUUUUAGUGGGGGAUAGGCCCAGAGAAAUUUGGAUUAAUACCCCGUAAUAUUAUUAAGUGGCAUCAUUUGAUAAUUAAAGCUCCGGCGCUAGGAAGAUGGGUGUGCGUCUGAUUAGGUAGUUGGUAGGGGUAACGGCCCACCAAGCCUACGAUCAGUAACUGGUGUGAGAGCCACGA